Molecule: long non-coding RNA, 305 nt
Filed under: Homo sapiens (human)
Lineage: Eukaryota; Metazoa; Chordata; Mammalia; Primates; Hominidae
Description: HSALNT0301962
Source: RNAcentral
UUCAUUGCUUCAUUCUUUCAUUGCUUUGCUGUGCAUUCUGUCCAAUUCUUUGUUCAAAAUGCCAAGAACCUGGACAAUUUGCAGUCAAGACCCUCCACCGGGAUAUGAACUUCCAAUUAUAUCAUUGGACUUGACUACUCCAUUUCUUUCCACAUUUAAAAAUCAAUCAGGGAGAAGCUAUUUUGAGAACUUAACACAGUAUUUAACAUGGGAUUUCUGAAUGAAGACAGUUUAUGGAUGAAUAAGGGAUUGCGAUGACCUUUAAAUAAACGACAAGAUAUUGUUUUGCCUUUGACUUGUGGUAA